This 253-nucleotide ribosomal RNA is filed under the name uncultured bacterium. RNAcentral describes it as "partial 16S ribosomal RNA". It matches the Rfam family "Bacterial small subunit ribosomal RNA", at positions 524 to 776 of the family's 1533-position model. The record is from RNAcentral.
UACGUAGGUGGCAAGCGUUGUCCGGAUUUACUGGGCGUAAAGCAUGCGUAGGCGGAUAUUUAAGUGGGAUGUGAAAUACCCGGGCUCAACUUGGGUGCUGCAUUCCAAACUGGAUAUCUAGAGUGCGGGAGAGGAGAGUGGAAUUCCUAGUGUAGCGGUGAAAUGCGUAGAGAUUAGGAAGAACACCAGUGGCGAAGGCGGCUCGCUGGGCCGUAACUGACGCUGAGGCAUGAAAGCGUGGGGAGCAAACAGG